RNAcentral lists this ribosomal RNA (535 nucleotides) under Salmonella enterica subsp. enterica serovar Kentucky. RNAcentral describes it as "bacterial SSU rRNA". It matches the Rfam family "Bacterial small subunit ribosomal RNA", at positions 998 to 1533 of the family's 1533-position model. Lineage: Bacteria; Pseudomonadati; Pseudomonadota; Gammaproteobacteria; Enterobacterales; Enterobacteriaceae. The record is from RNAcentral.
UUCCAGAGAUGGACUGGUGCCUUCGGGAACUGUGAGACAGGUGCUGCAUGGCUGUCGUCAGCUCGUGUUGUGAAAUGUUGGGUUAAGUCCCGCAACGAGCGCAACCCUUAUCCUUUGUUGCCAGCGGUUAGGCCGGGAACUCAAAGGAGACUGCCAGUGAUAAACUGGAGGAAGGUGGGGAUGACGUCAAGUCAUCAUGGCCCUUACGACCAGGGCUACACACGUGCUACAAUGGCGCAUACAAAGAGAAGCGACCUCGCGAGAGCAAGCGGACCUCAUAAAGUGCGUCGUAGUCCGGAUUGGAGUCUGCAACUCGACUCCAUGAAGUCGGAAUCGCUAGUAAUCGUGGAUCAGAAUGCCACGGUGAAUACGUUCCCGGGCCUUGUACACACCGCCCGUCACACCAUGGGAGUGGGUUGCAAAAGAAGUAGGUAGCUUAACCUUCGGGAGGGCGCUUACCACUUUGUGAUUCAUGACUGGGGUGAAGUCGUAACAAGGUAACCGUAGGGGAACCUGCGGUUGGAUCACCUCCUUA